GGCCUGGGCGGGCGGUCCGCCGCAAGGCGCUGUACUGUCUGGCCGGGCCUUUCCUCUUGGUGAACCGGCGUGCCCUUCGCUGGGUGCGUCGAGGAACCAGGACGUUUACCUUGAGAAAAUUAGAGUGUUCAAAGCAGGCGUCUCGCCCGAAUACAUUAGCAUGGAAUAAUGGAAUAGGAC
This 180-nucleotide ribosomal RNA is filed under the name uncultured Glomeromycotina. RNAcentral's name for it is "partial small subunit ribosomal RNA". The record is from RNAcentral. Lineage: Eukaryota; Fungi; Glomeromycota.